This 492-nucleotide ribosomal RNA is filed under the name uncultured bacterium. RNAcentral's name for it is "partial 16S ribosomal RNA". It matches the Rfam family "Bacterial small subunit ribosomal RNA", at positions 29 to 507 of the family's 1533-position model. The record is from RNAcentral.
AGUGAACGCUGGCGGUAGGCCUAACACAUGCCAGUCGAACGGCAGCACAGUAAGAGCUUGCUCUUACGGGUGGCGAGUGGCGGACGGGUGAGGAAUACAUCGGAAUCUACUUUUUCGUGGGGGAUAACGUAGGGAAACUUACGCUAAUACCGCAUACGACCUACGGGUGAAAGCAGGGGAUCUUCGGACCUUGCGCGAUUGAAUGAGCCGAUGUCGGAUUAGCUAGUUGGCGGGGUAAAGGCCCACCAAGGCGACGAUCCGUAGCUGGUCUGAGAGGAUGAUCAGCCACACUGGAACUGAGACACGGUCCAGAGUCCUACGGGAGGCAGCAGUGGGGAAUAUUGGACAAUGGGCGCAAGCCUGAUCCAGCCAUACCGCGUGGGUGAAGAAGGCCUUCGGGUUGUAAAGCCCUUUUGUUGGGAAAGAAAAGCAGCAGGUUAAUACCCCGCUGUUCUGACGGUACCCAAAGAAUAAGCACCGGCUAACUUCGUG